GGUCAUCCAGCGCAAAAACCCAAAAUUAAAUUUCAACAAAAAUAUAAAACAAAAAAUAUACCCACCCUUUUAAGAAUGGGUUAAAAUCUAGUUCAAGUUAAAAAAUAAAAAGAACUAUAAUAAUUUGCUGAUCAAUUUUUCGGUCACCUCUCACCACUACAGCCAAUUUACUACCACCGCCUUGUCAAACGCACUCGCCAGGAGUACUUUAAGAUCCGUCUAGUUUCCAACGCCUGUCAAUUUUACUGUUCC
Molecule: long non-coding RNA, 252 nt
Filed under: Brassica rapa (field mustard)
Lineage: Eukaryota; Viridiplantae; Streptophyta; Magnoliopsida; Brassicales; Brassicaceae
Description: long non-coding RNA (BRAP_LNC000161)
Source: RNAcentral